UACGAAGGGGGCUAGCGUUGUUCGGAAUUACUGGGCGUAAAGCGUGCGCAGGCGGUUUUGUAAGCCGGAUGUGAAAUCCCCGGGCUUAACCUGGGAAUGGCAUUCGGGACUGCAAGGCUGGAGUGCGGCAGAGGAGACUGGAAUUCCUGGUGUAGCAGUGAAAUGCGUAGAUAUCAGGAGGAACACCUGUGGUGUAGACAGCUUACUGGACCAUAACUGACGCUGAGGCACGAAAGCGUGGGUAGCAAACAGG
This 253-nucleotide ribosomal RNA is filed under the name uncultured bacterium. Its description in RNAcentral is "partial 16S ribosomal RNA". It matches the Rfam family "Bacterial small subunit ribosomal RNA", at positions 524 to 776 of the family's 1533-position model. The record is from RNAcentral.